Molecule: transfer RNA, 68 nt
Filed under: Camelus bactrianus (Bactrian camel)
Lineage: Eukaryota; Metazoa; Chordata; Mammalia; Artiodactyla; Camelidae
Also listed under: 2 other names
Rfam family: tRNA
About the family: Transfer RNA (tRNA) molecules are approximately 80 nucleotides in length. Their secondary structure includes four short double-helical elements and three loops (D, anti-codon, and T loops).
Source: Rfam by way of RNAcentral
GAGGGUAGAGCUCAGUGGUAGAGCACAUGCUUAACAUGCACGAGGUCCUGGGUUCCCCAGUACCUCCA